This 67-nucleotide transfer RNA is filed under the name Magallana ariakensis (Suminoe oyster). RNAcentral's name for it is "tRNA-Ile". Lineage: Eukaryota; Metazoa; Mollusca; Bivalvia; Ostreida; Ostreidae. The record is from RNAcentral.
AGUAUUGUGCCAGAGUUGUAUGGGCUUUGUUGAUGUCAAAGAAUACGAGAAAUUUUCUCCAAUACUU